GAUGAACGCUGACAGAAUGCUUAACACAUGCAAGUCAACUUGAACUUCGGUUUGGGUGGCGGACGGGUGAGUAACGCGUAAAGAACUUGCCUCACAGAUAGGGACAACAUUUGGAAACGAAUGCUAAUACCUGAUAUUAUGAUUUUAGGGCAUCCUAGGAUUAUGAAAGCUAUAUGCGCUGUGAGAGAGCUUUGCGUCCCAUUAGCUAGUUGGAGAGGUAACGGCUCACCAAGGCGAUGAUGGGUGGCCGGCCUGAGAGGGUGAUCGGCCACAAGGGGACUGAGACACGGCCCUUACUCCUACGGGAGGCAGCAGUGGGGAAUAUUGGACAAUGGACCAAGAGUCUGAUCCAGCAAUUCUGUGUGCACGAUGAAGUUUUUCGGAAUGUAAAGUGCUUUCAGUUGGGAAGAAAAAAAUGACGGUACCAACAGAAGAAGUGACGGCUAAAUACGUG
RNAcentral lists this ribosomal RNA (454 nucleotides) under uncultured bacterium. Its description in RNAcentral is "partial 16S ribosomal RNA". It matches the Rfam family "Bacterial small subunit ribosomal RNA", at positions 28 to 507 of the family's 1533-position model. The record is from RNAcentral.